Molecule: ribosomal RNA, 494 nt
Filed under: uncultured bacterium
Lineage: Bacteria
Description: partial 16S ribosomal RNA
Rfam family: Bacterial small subunit ribosomal RNA
Source: RNAcentral
GACGAACGCUGGCGGCGUGCUUAACACAUGCAAGUCGAACGGUGAAGCGCCUUCCUUUUUGGUGGGUGUGGAUGAGUGGCGAACGGGUGAGUAACACGUGAGUAACCUGCCCCCUUCUUCUGGAUAACCGCAUGAAAGUGUGGCUAAUACGGGAUAUUCUGGGUCUGUCGCAUGAUGGGUCUGGGAAAGAUAUUGUUUCGGUGGGGGAUGGGCUCGCGGCUUAUCAGCUUGUUGGUGGGGUGAUGGCCUACCAAGGCGGUGACGGGUAGCCGGCCUGAGAGGGUGGACGGUCACACUGGGACUGAGACGCGGCGCAGACUCCUACGGGAGGCAGCAGUGGGGAAUAUUGCACGAUGGGCGGAAGGCUGAUGCAGCGACGCCGCGUGAGGGAUGGAGGCCUGCGGGUUGUGAACCUCUUUCGCCAGUGAAGCAGGCCUGCCUCGUUUGUGGGUGGGUUGACGGUAGCUGGAUAAGAAGCGCCGGCUAACUACGUG